GGAGGCUUCGCCUAGUCUGGUCUAUGGCGCCGCACUGCUAAUGCGGUUUGGGCCCUAAAGCCCAUCGAGGGUUCAAAUCCCUCAGCCUCCGC
Molecule: transfer RNA, 92 nt
Filed under: Streptomyces antimycoticus
Lineage: Bacteria; Bacillati; Actinomycetota; Actinomycetes; Kitasatosporales; Streptomycetaceae
Also listed under: 4 other names
Description: tRNA-Ser
Rfam family: tRNA
About the family: Transfer RNA (tRNA) molecules are approximately 80 nucleotides in length.
Source: RNAcentral